ACGCUAGCGGCAGGCUUAUACAUGCAAGUCGUACGGUAAGGUCUCUUCGGAGAUACACGAGUGGCGCACGGGUGCGUAACGCGUAUGCAANCUGCCCAUAACUGGAGAAUAGCUCCCGGAAACGGAAAUUAAUACUCCAUAAUAUUACACAUUCGCAUGUUUGUGUGAUUAAAGCUUCGGCGGUUAUGGAUGGGCAUGCGUGACAUUAGCUAGUUGGUGAGGUAACGGCUCACCAAGGCAACGAUGUCUAGGGGUCCUGAGAGGGUUCACCCCCACACUGGUACUGAGACACGGACCAGACUCCUACGGGAGGCAGCAGUAAGGAAUAUUGGUCAAUGGGCGAAAGCCUGAACCAGCCAUGCCGCGUGCAGGAUGACAGCCCUACGGGUUGUAAACUGCUUUUCUGCAGGACAAAACUCCUCAACGUGUUGGGGACUGAUGGUACUGCAGGAAUAAGCAUCGGCUAACUCCGUGCCAGCAGCCGCGGUAAUACGGAGGAUGCAAGCGUUAUCCGGAUUUAUUGGGUUUAGAGGGUACGUAGGCGGAUUUGCAAGUCAGUGGUGAAAUCUCCCCGCUUAACGGGGAAACUGCCAUUGAUACUGUUAAUCUUGAGUAACAUGUGAAGUGGGCGGAAUACGGUAUGUAGCGGUGAAAUGCAUAGAUAUGCCGUAGAACACCGAUUGCGAAGGCAGCUCACUAAAUUGUCACUGACGCUGAGGUACGAAAGCGUGGGGAUCAAACAGGAUUAGAUACCCUGGUAGUCCACGCUGUAAACGAUGAUCACUCGCUGUUGGCGAUACACUGUCAGCGGCUGAGCGAAAGCAUUAAGUGAUCCACCUGGGGAUUACGAUCGCAAGAUUGAAACUCAAAGGAAUUGACGGGGGCCCGCACAAGCGGUGGAGCAUGUGGUUUAAUUCGAUGAUACGCGAGGAACCUUACCUGGGCUUAAAUGCUUAACGACCGUUGCCGAAAGGUGACUUUCCUUCGGGACGUUUUGCAAGGUGCUGCAUGGUUGUCGUCAGCUCGUGCCGUGAGGUGUCGGGUUAAGUCCCAUAACGAGCGCAACCCCUAUUCUUAGUUGCCAUCAGGUAAAGCUGGGGACUCUAAGGAAACUGCCUACGCAAGUAGUGAGGAAGGUGGGGAUGACGUCAAAUCAGCACGGCCCUUAUGUCCAGGGCUACACACGUGCUACAAUGGCCGGCACAGAGGGUAACUACUACGCGAGUAGAUGUUAAUCUCGAAAUCCGGUCUCAGUUCGGAUCGAAGUCUGCAACUCGACUUCGUGAAGCUGGAAUCGCUAGUAAUCGCGCAUCAGCCACGGCGCGGUGAUACGUUCCCGGGCCUUGUACACACCGCCCGUCAAGCCAUGA
Molecule: ribosomal RNA, 1370 nt
Filed under: uncultured organism
Description: 16S ribosomal RNA
Rfam family: Bacterial small subunit ribosomal RNA
Source: RNAcentral